GGUUCCUUAGCUCAACUGGAUAGAGUACUUGACUACGAAUCAAGCGGUUAGAGGUUCGACUCCUCUAGGAAUCA
This 74-nucleotide transfer RNA is filed under the name Streptococcaceae bacterium. RNAcentral describes it as "tRNA-Arg". It matches the Rfam family "tRNA". Rfam says of the family: Transfer RNA (tRNA) molecules are approximately 80 nucleotides in length. Lineage: Bacteria; Bacillati; Bacillota; Bacilli; Lactobacillales; Streptococcaceae. The record is from RNAcentral. RNAcentral also lists the same sequence under 2 other names.